Molecule: ribosomal RNA, 436 nt
Filed under: uncultured bacterium
Lineage: Bacteria
Description: partial 16S ribosomal RNA
Rfam family: Bacterial small subunit ribosomal RNA
Source: RNAcentral
ACGGAAGGCAGCAGUGGGGAAUAUUGGGCAAUGGGGGAAACCCUGACCCAGCAACGCCGCGUGAGGGAAGAAGGUUUUCGGAUCGUAAACCUCUGUCCUUGAUGAAGAGAAAGAGACGGUAAUCAGGGAGGAAGCCCCGGCUAACUACGUGCCAGCAGCCGCGGUAAUACGUAGGGGGCAAGCGUUGUCCGGAAUGAUUGGGCGUAAAGGGCGCGUAGGCGGCCCGGUAAGUCUGGAGUGAAAGUCCUGCUUUUAAGGUGGGAACUGCUUUGGAUACUGUCGGGCUUGAGUGCAGGAGAGGUUAGUGGAAUUCCCAGUGUAGCGGUGAAAUGCGUAGAGAUUGGGAGGAACACCAGUGGCGAAGGCGACUAACUGGACUGUAACUGACGCUGAGGCGCGAAAGUGUGGGGAGCAAACAGGAUUAGAUACCCUGGUA